This 217-nucleotide long non-coding RNA is filed under the name Carica papaya (papaya). Its description in RNAcentral is "long non-coding RNA (CPAP_LNC001296)". The record is from RNAcentral. Lineage: Eukaryota; Viridiplantae; Streptophyta; Magnoliopsida; Brassicales; Caricaceae.
UGCUAAUGAAGAAAGGGCAAGUUGUAAAAUUUUUAGAUGGUGCACAAGAGGUAAAAGAUCCUUAAUGCACGUCUUGUGUCUACUUUGGUUGCUACAAGAAUCGCUUUAAAGACUGUCAGUGCUGCACCUAUAUUUAUUAUAAGUAGAAUACACAAUCCUAAUCUCCCCUAAUCACCACUCUGGUAUAAUAAUUACGCAGAUUGAAAGUUUCAUCUUU